This 325-nucleotide ribosomal RNA is filed under the name uncultured eukaryote. Its description in RNAcentral is "partial 18S ribosomal RNA". It matches the Rfam family "Eukaryotic small subunit ribosomal RNA", at positions 1470 to 1796 of the family's 1831-position model. The record is from RNAcentral.
CCCUUAGAUGUUCUGGGCUGCACGCGCGCUACACUGCUGCGUUCAACAAGUAUUUACCUCGCUUGGGAAGGUCGGGCAAUCUUGUGAACAUGCAGCGUGAUGGGGAUAGACUAUUGCAAUUAUUGAUCUUCAACGAGGAAUUCCUAGUAAGUGCGAGUCAUCAACUCGCGCUGAUUACGUCCCUGCCCUUUGUACACACCGCCCGUCGCUCCUACCGAUUGAGUGAUCAGGUGAACCAUCCCUACUGCGGCGAUGCCUGGUUCCCAGUCUUUGCCGCGGGACGCUUCGUGAACCUUAUCACUUAGAGGAAGGAGAAGUCGUAACA